Molecule: long non-coding RNA, 960 nt
Organism: Aegilops tauschii subsp. strangulata
Lineage: Eukaryota; Viridiplantae; Streptophyta; Magnoliopsida; Poales; Poaceae
Source: RefSeq, a predicted model, not a curated record
GUUCAUGACAAAAAAGCCAAUAGAUUUGGGGUCCACUUCCCAGUGAAACAAAUGUUCAUUGCGGACAAUACGAAGACGAUGAUUGGUACAAUGAGGUGAAUAUAUUAGAAUUUUUAUUCUUCUCUCUCCAUGUCUAUGUUUGUGCUUGAUCAACUGUCCACUUAAUGAUUUUAGUUGUACAAAGUCCUAAGCUGGUCUCACUAGGUCGUACCCAGUGCCGGAGACAGGGGGGACCAGCAGGGGCCCUGGCCCCCCCUAACACCAUGAUUUUGCAUGUAAUUUGCUAUGAACAGUGGCAAAAUUAGUACUAAUUUGCUGCUAAAAAUCUAUUUUUCAACACUUUGGUCCUCCCCAACCAGUUUUAGUAGCACUUGGCCUCCCUUAUAGAUAUUUUCUGGCUCCGCCACUGGUUCGUACUCGUACCACACCGUGGGAAGGUUAUGGCCAAGAAUGAGCUGGAGGUUAUUGCUUUGGCGACGCCGAAGGCCGUUCACGCGAAGAGGAGAUGUGCCUGGUGACGAGAAGUCUUAGACCACCGGCUGCAAGGUUGCACCUUGGAGUUCAAAAUUUGGUGUCUUCGCAUUGAAGGAUUCAAUCCAUCGACUUUGGAGUUUGAACAUGUCACUUGUGAUGGGGAGAGGAAGAGAUGACUUGCAUACACUGGACAAUGAGUGUGUUAGCAGCGUGGUGGCUCAGGACUGUACAAGUUGUAGUAGCCCCUUCCCUUAUAAAUGUUUUGUUUUGAUUGGAAGCACCUUAUAAUUAGCUAAUAUAUGGAUUUCAUUUACAUCGUCUGUCCAAGUAUGCGAGGCCCAUGAGAUGGGCAUUAAUCACUUCUCUUUUUUGUCAGUAUUUUGAUAGGGGACCUAUGUAUAUGGGAAGGAGUUAGUAUCAUGUAAAUCGUAUCACCAAUUUAAGGAUCCUCAUGUUUUCUUACUUUUCAACACUUAUUUGUGAUUU